UGGGGAAUUUUGCACAAUGGGGGAAACCCUGAUGCAGCGACGCCGCGUGAUUUAGAAGGCCUUCGGGUUGUAAAAAUCUUUUCUAUGGGAAGAAAAUGACAGUACCAUAGGAAUAAGGACCGGCUAAUUACGUGCCAGCAGCCGCGGUAAUACGUAAGGUCCGAGCGUUGUCCGGAAUCAUUGGGCGUAAAGGGUACGUAGGCGGGUAAGCAAGUUAGAAGUGAAAUCCUGUAGCUCAACUACAGUAAGCUUUUAAAACUGCUCAUCUUGAGAUAUGGAAGGGAAAGUGGAAUUCCUAGUCUAGCGGUGAAAUGCGCAGAUAUUAGGAGGAAUACCGGUGGCGAAGGCGACUUUCUGGCCAUAAUCUGACGCUGAGGUACGAAAGCGUGGGUAGCAAACAGG
RNAcentral lists this ribosomal RNA (402 nucleotides) under Bacteroidota bacterium. RNAcentral's name for it is "Bacteroidetes bacterium partial 16S ribosomal RNA". It matches the Rfam family "Bacterial small subunit ribosomal RNA", at positions 355 to 776 of the family's 1533-position model. Lineage: Bacteria; Pseudomonadati; Bacteroidota. The record is from RNAcentral.